RNAcentral lists this long non-coding RNA (6582 nucleotides) under Oryza sativa (Asian cultivated rice). Its description in RNAcentral is "long non-coding RNA (OSAT_LNC000806)". Lineage: Eukaryota; Viridiplantae; Streptophyta; Magnoliopsida; Poales; Poaceae. The record is from RNAcentral.
UAGUGUUUGGUCUAGAAUGAAAGAAUAAACUAAUGACUGUUCAACAAUGCUCUGUAAUGGAAUUUUAUGUUGCUAUCUACAAAUUUCUAGGGGAAAGACAGUGAAGAUCUUAACUCAAGGAGGAGAGAUGCUAGAACUUUGCUAUGAGUUGCGGACACCGUUUGUCAUGUCAGUUGUUGCUAACCAGGUCCGCCACAUGUUUUUAUCCUUGCUUCUUCUCCUCUUUUUAUGAGUAUAAUAGCUCCAUUCUGCUUGUGUAAAUGUUCUUCCUUCGAUGUUCUGUUUCACAAUUGUGUUAUGUUAUACUCUAUUUUUCCCUUAAUCAAUUUAUUGCAUUUUUAUGUUAGAAUUUCAAUGGUUACUCUCAUUGAGAAGAGGAUGGCACUCGAGAUGGGGCAAUUUUCUGGUUUUCUUCAUUCACAAAACACAAAAGCCAUACCUAUCCGAGGGAGGUUGGAUGCAUAUAUAUAGCCAUAGCUGGCUGCUAGCCUAUUGUUGCACCCUCCUAGUCUAAAAUUUGAAAUUUGAAUGAGAUGCUGUCCUAGAGGGCAUCCAAACUAAAUAAAGCAUAAAGGAGGCAUAAAGGAGAUGCUAACUGCUGCUGUCCUACUAACCGCAGCUGUCCUAGCAACUGAAAAAUAUGCUAAAGGGUAGAUGCUGUCCUGAAAAAGGUGAAACUACCCAAAAGCAAAAAGAAGAAUCACGACCAAGGACCACAAAGACUUAUCCAACAUUCUCCCCCUAAGUCUUGUGCGUCGUCUUGUGGGGAAGUUGGGCCAUCCCGAUCCUGGAGCAGAGCUCGAGAAACUUGAUCCUCCCAAGAGGCUUGGUGAGCAAGUACGCAAGCUGGUCCUUGGUGUUGAUGUAGCUCGCCUUGAUGCUCCCUUCCUCCAAGUAGCUUCGGAUGAAGUGGUACCUCACCCGGAUGUGCUUGCUCCGUUCGAGAAAAACGGGGUUCUUUGCCAGGGCCAAAGUGGACUUGCUAUCCACCCUGAGCUCCACCGUUCCAGUGUCUCUGCCGAGGAGAUCACUAAGCAGUCGAGCAAGCCAGAGCGCCUGGGUCGAAGCGGCGGAGGCCGCCAUGUACUCGGCCUCGCAGCUGGACAGGGCCACCACCUGCUGCUUGACCGACUGCCAGCUAACGAGGCACUUGCCGAGGAAGAAGAGAAUCCCGCUCGUGCUCUUGCUGGUGUCGAUGUCGCCGGCGUGGUCGCUGUCGCUGUACCCGACGAAGUGUGCCUUGCCAGGACACCUCGGGUAGUAGAGACCGUGGUCGAGAGUCCCCGCAACGUAGCGGAUGAUCCUCUUCACAGCCUGCUGGUGCUCCGUCGUCGGUCGCUGCAUGAACCGACUGACGUAGCCGACGGAGAAGGCCAAGUCCGGCCGUGUGUGGGUGAGGUAGCGAAGGCUCCCCACAAGACGCCGGUACUGUGUAGCAUCCACCUCCUCCGCCGUGCUGUCGCGGCUCAGCUUCAGUCUCUCCUCCAUCGGAGUAAGAGCUGGGUUGCAAUCGGUGAGCCCAGCCAGCUCAACGACGCGCUUGGCGUAGGCGGUCUGUCGAAGCGUGAUCCCGGAGUCGUCCUGGUGCACUUCGAUCCCCAGGUAGAAGGAGAGAGGCCCCAGAUCACUCAUCUGGAAGGUGGCCUUCAUCUCCUUGAACGCCGCGACCUCCGCAUCCUUGGUGCCGGUGAUCACCAAGUCGUCGACGUAGACACCCACCAGCAAGGCAUUUCCUCCAUUGCCCCGCCGGUAGAUGGCCGCCUCGUGCGGGCUUUGCUCGAAGCCCAUCCCCUUGAGCGUGGAAUCCAACUUGGCAUUCCACGCCCUCGGUGCCUGCCGCAAGCCGUAGAGGGCCUUGUGCAGGCGUAGCACCUUGCCCUCCUUGCCGGGGAUCACAAAUCUCGGCGGCUGGUGCACGUAGACCUCCUCCUUCAAGUCGCUGUUCAGAAACGCCGACUUGACGUCCAUGUGAUCGACGCCCCAGCCUUCCUGAGCAGCCAGCGCAAGGAGUCGCACGGACUCCAUCCGUGCCACGGGAGCGAAGGCAUCAUCGUAGUCGAUCCCCUCCUGCUGCACGAAACCGCGUGCCACCAAGCGAGCCUUGUGCUUGACGAUGGCUCCGGCUUCAUCCCUCUUCAGCUUGAACACCCACUUAAGGGUGAUCGCGCGGUGACCACGAGGGAGGUCAGCAAGCUCCCAGGUGCGGUUCUCCUGAACCGCGUCCAUCUCCGACUGCAUCGCGGCACGCCAUGCCGCGUGUUUCUCGGCCUCUGCAAAAGACCGAGGCUCACCGUCAUCGCACGCAAGGUGCAACUGCGCCUUAGGUCGCGAGGCACCAGUCCCGGCACCGGCUGGUCGCCGAGAAGAUCCUCCAUCGUACGGUACCGUAGCUGCUCGCCGUCGUGGUACGCGUCGAUGCGCUCCCCGUCGUGGGAGAGCGGAGUAGCGAACUCCACCGGGCUGCGCUCAACACGAGCUGGCGUCGGAGUAGACGUGCUUGGAGGAGUGGCUGUUGGUGCUGGAGCAUGUGGAGUCACUGGCUGGGGUGGUGUCGACGAAGAGCUCGUCGUAGUCGAAGUCGUGGCCCGAGGGUGUGUUGGUGUCGGAGUCGGUGGAGAUUCGGGGGCUAGGGUAGACACGCUCGGUGAAGAAGAGCUGCCUACUCCCCCAGCUCCCUCGAAGUGGACGUACUCGACGGUGAAGUCGUCGUACGUCGGAGUCGAACCAUCGUCCACCGCCUUGUCCCAUACCCACCCUCGCCCUUCGUCGAACACAACAUCGCGCACAAUGCGCACACGCUGUGUCUCCAGGUGGAGGAUGCGGUAGGCCUUCGAGCCCUCCGCUUAGCCGAUGAACACCCCUGGGGUGCUCCUGUCGUCGAGCUUGCCGAUGUGGCCAAGCUCCUUGGCGAACGCGAGGCAGCCGAAGACCCGCAGAUGGGAGACCGCCGGCUUGCGCCCAUGCCAAGCCUCGUACGGUGUCCUGCCAUCGAGGGCCUUGGUAGGCGAGCGGUUGAGGAUGUAGGCGGCCGUCACCACCGCCUCCCCCCAGAAGAUGGCCGGCAUCCCCCUCUGCUUGAGGAGGGCCCGAGCCAUCCCCACAACCGUCUGGUUGCGCCGCUUGACGACGCCGUUCUGCUGCGGGCUGUACGGCGUGGUAUAGUGGCACUAAAUGCCCUCAUCAGCGCAGUACGACGCGAAUUCAGCCGCUGUGAAUUCGCCGCCGUUGUCUGUGCGCAGCACGCGCAGCUUGCGACCGCACUCUGCCUCUGCAGCAGCCUGCGCAUGCCUGAUGGCGUCCGCAGCCUCUCCCUUGCUGCCGAGGACCAUCACCCACAUGUAGCAGGAGAGGUCGUCGACGAGUAGCAGGAAGUAACGUCGUCCUCCUGGUGUGGCCGGUGUCACUGGGCCACACAAGUCCCCGUGCACGAGCUCGAGCCGCUCCUUGGCUCGGAAGCUCGUCUGCUAGGGAAAGGGGAGCCGCCGCUGCUUCGUCACCACGCAAACGUCGCAGAGCUGCUCCACGUGGUCAAGGCACGGCAUGCCUCGCACCAUCUCCUUGGCACUGAGCUGCUUCAGGGCCUCGAAGUGGAGGUGCCCGAAGCGCUCGUGCCACUGCCACGCCUCGUCGUCCCGACGAGCGGCGAGGCAAACUGGUUGUGCUACCUGCGCGCUGAGGAUGUAGAGUCGAUUAGUGCCUCUGGUUACCUUGGCAAGAAGGCGACGACGGCGAUCCCAAAUCCUCAUGAAUCCGUCCUCGACCAACACGCGUGAGCCGUUCUCAUCCAGCUGUCCCACGCUGAUGAUAGAAUUCCUCAACGCGGGGAUGUAGUAGACUCCGGUGAGCAGCCUAUGCUCACCGGACUUGGCGGUGAAGGUGACGGAGCCAACACCCUUGAUCUCCACGCCGGAGGCGUCCCCGAACUUGACGGAGCCUCGGACGCUGGAGUCGAACUCGGUGAAGAACUCCCGUCGGCCGGUCAUGUGAUGGGUGGCGCCGGUGUCGAGGUACCACCCAUCAGCCUUGUCGUUGCUGGAGCCGUUGCAGAGGGAGACGAGUACCUUCGGCUCAUCAAGGUGGAGGAAAGCCGCUGCGGCCGGUGCCGCUGGAGGUAGCUCGAUGCUUGCGUGAGCUAGGAGCAGAGCCGGCUCUUCCUCCUCCACCCGUGCGACGUGGGCCUGGUCGCGUCGUGGCUGUCGACAGUCUUUGGCCCAAUGGCCAAGCUUGCCACAGUUGCGGCAGGCGUCGUCUCGUGCCGGCUUGUGGUUGCCGGUGGCAACGCCCUGGGCGCCUCUGCGGGCGCCACCCUCGGCACGUCUUCGCGCCCACCGUAGCUGGACACCUCCCCGUGCCUUGCGCGGCUUACGGCCGCCUGUCGGGGAAGAUGACUCCCCCUUCCUCCCGUCACCCUGAGAGGCCUCCCACUGCUCCCGAGUGAGAUGGAGCUUCCCGCCGAUGGUGAUGGGCCCCGAGAGAGGCUGUGGCUCAUCACCAUCGACGACCUUGAAGCGAUCUAACGCCUCCUCGAUCGACAUCGUGGAGAGGUCUAGCAGAGAUUCGAUCGAGCGAGCGAUCUGCCUGUACUUCUCAGGGACGCAGCGGAAGAGCUUCUCGACAGCUCUCUCCUCGUCGUAGGUGUCGUCGCCGUACUGCACCAUUUUCUGUAAGAGAGUGUUGAGACGGAGAGCAAAGUCAUCAACAUCCUCACCUGGCUUGAAGGCCAGGUUCUCCCACUCCUUGCGGAGUGCCUGCAAUGUGGACUUGCGGGCGCGGUCGCUGCCGAUGCGUGCCGCAGCGAUGGCGUCUCAGGCCUCCUUGGCAGUCCGCUUCUGGGAAAGCGAGAACUGCAUCUCGGGCGGGACUGCAGCGAUGAGGGCAUCUAGUGCCCGCCGAUCCUCGUCGUAGUCGACGUCGCCGUACCGGACUGCCUCCCACAUGUGCCGCACCUGGAGCCUCACCCUCAUCACCGCGGCCCACUCGAUGUAGUUGGUUUUGGUGAGGGUAGGCCACCCACCGCCGGGACCAAAGUCCCUGACCACCGUCUGGACGCCGUGGUGACCAUGGCGCCGGUCAGGGGAGAGAGAGCCGCGCUGCCUGCGAGGGCCACGUGCGGGCUCCGGGCUUCCGCCGGCACGCCCGCGCCCGUCUGGGUUCCCGUCGGCGGGCGCGUGGUCCCUUGGGCCGCCGCCACCGCCGUGGAGGUGGGCUGCUGCCCACCGCUCUGCCCGCUCCCGUGCCCUUCCUCUUGCCAGCUCCUCAAGCUCCCUGUCGGCGGUGAUGUCGCCGGCGAUGGAGCCGUUGAUGCUGCUGCGCAAGGUCUCAACCUCUACCUCCGUCACACGUGCCGCAUCUUCCGACGCCUCCGCCUCCGCCCUGGCUGCUGCCAACUCCGCUGCCGCCAGUCUGGCCGCCCUUGCUGCUGCUGCAGCGGUCUGAGCCGUUGCUCGCCUACGCUCUUCUGCUGCGGCGAGCUCAGCGUCCUGCUGACGCCGAGUGCUCGAGGCGACAGAACGCCGAGACCGAGCGUCGGACAUGGCGCACCUCCGGGGGGCUGCUGCGUGGAGAGGGGGAAGGGAAAGGGGAAGGAGGAGCAACCGGUGCUGCUGCUGCUGCUGGCUGAGAGCUCAACCGAGCUUGGGAAGGGGUGGAACAAGAGAUGUUUAGCCUACAGGAAAGUGUGGCUCUGAUACCAGAUGUUAGAAUUUCAAUGGUUACUCUCAUUGAGAAGAGGAUGGCACUCGAGAUGGGGCAAUUUUCUGGUUUUCUUCAUUCAUAAAACACAAAAGCCAUACCUACCCGAGGGAGGUUGGAUGCAUAUAUAUAGCCAUAGCUGGCUGCUAGCCUAUUGCUGCACCCUCCUAGUCUAAAAUUUGAAAUUUGAAUGAGAUGUUGUCCUAGAGGGCAUCCAAACUGAAUAAAGCAUAAAGGAGGCAUAAAGGAGAUGCUAACUGCUGCUGUCCUACUAACCGCAGCUGUCCUAGCAACUGAAAAAUAUGCUAAAGGGUAGAUGCUAUCCUGAAAAAGGUGAAACUACCCAAAAGCAAAAAGAAGAAUCACGACCAAGGACCACAAAGACUUAUCCAACAUUUUAUUAAACAUAGUUAUUUAGUUGGAGAUAUUCCCAAUUGUCACUAAAAUUUUCUGUAUCUACUUGACACGGUACCUGUGCUUGCAUCAGAUGUCGAAUCAACAAAUCACAACUUGUAAACUUCAAAGAUAGAAAUAAAAUAACUGAACCCUAGGUCUCAAUUAUUGCAAAGAUAACUCACAUAUGAUUAAACAGCCACAUACAUAUACACAUAACUGGGAAGUGCAAUCAUUUACAAAAGGCACUAUAGUAAACACAUAUAUGUAUUUAUAGAUUCCUCCACAUAAGAUUUGAGAUGGCAAAACCUACCAAGCUAGCACUAACCAGUUCACCACCAUUAUGAAGUAGAUAACAUUUUCAGUGUGGUGCUUCCGUGCUUAUUUGCAUUCAGGUGUUGACUGUUGUAUGUGCUAGAUAAAAGCUAAUGAAGAUUCAAUGUUCAAUUUGGGUACAUUACCAUUUUUAAUUAUUGGUUCCAAAUGAUAAUGCAGUCA